RNAcentral lists this ribosomal RNA (235 nucleotides) under uncultured bacterium. RNAcentral's name for it is "partial 16S ribosomal RNA". It matches the Rfam family "Bacterial small subunit ribosomal RNA", at positions 99 to 334 of the family's 1533-position model. The record is from RNAcentral.
CGGACGGGUGAGUAACGCGUGGGUAACCUACCCUGUACAGGGGGAUAACAGUCAGAAAUGACUGCUAAUACCGCAUAAGACCACAGCACCGCAUGGUGCAGGGGUAAAAACUCCGGUGGUACAGGAUGGACCCGCGUCUGAUUAGCUGGUUGGUGAGGUAACGGCUCACCAAGGCGACGAUCAGUAGCCGGCUUGAGAGAGUGAACGGCCACAUUGGGACUGAGACACGGCCCAA